AUUUAAAUAGCUUAUAUUUUAGAGCGCAGCCUUGAAGAUGCUGAAGAGAUUGUUAAAUCUUUAAAUA
RNAcentral lists this transfer RNA (67 nucleotides) under Simulium aureohirtum. RNAcentral's name for it is "tRNA-Phe". It matches the Rfam family "tRNA". Rfam says of the family: Transfer RNA (tRNA) molecules are approximately 80 nucleotides in length. Their secondary structure includes four short double-helical elements and three loops (D, anti-codon, and T loops). Further hydrogen bonds mediate the characteristic L-shaped molecular structure. tRNAs have two regions of fundamental functional importance: the anti-codon, which is responsible for specific mRNA codon recognition, and the 3' end, to which the tRNAs corresponding amino acid is attached (by aminoacyl-tRNA synthetases). tRNAs cope with the degeneracy of the genetic code in two manners: having more than one tRNA (with a specific anti-codon) for a particular amino acid; and 'wobble' base-pairing, i.e. permitting non-standard base-pairing at the 3rd anti-codon position. The record is from RNAcentral. Lineage: Eukaryota; Metazoa; Arthropoda; Insecta; Diptera; Simuliidae.